UACGUAGGGGGCAAGCGUUGUCCGGAUUUAUUGGGCGUAAAGAGCGUGUAGGCGGCCAGGCAGGUCCGCUGUGAAAACUCGAGGCUCAACCUCGAGAGGUCGGUGGAAACCGUCUGGCUAGAGUCCGGAAGAGGAGAGUGGAAUUCCCGGUGUAGCGGUGAAAUGCGUAGAUAUCGUCUGGAACGCCAAAGGUGAAGACAGUCUGCUGGGGAUCUGCUGACGCUGAGACACGAAAGCCAGGGGAGCGAACGGG
RNAcentral lists this ribosomal RNA (253 nucleotides) under uncultured bacterium. RNAcentral describes it as "partial 16S ribosomal RNA". It matches the Rfam family "Bacterial small subunit ribosomal RNA", at positions 524 to 776 of the family's 1533-position model. The record is from RNAcentral.